This 1599-nucleotide long non-coding RNA is filed under the name Linum usitatissimum (flax). RNAcentral's name for it is "long non-coding RNA (LUSI_LNC007646)". Lineage: Eukaryota; Viridiplantae; Streptophyta; Magnoliopsida; Malpighiales; Linaceae. The record is from RNAcentral.
AACCCCACAGAUCUAAACCUAUUCUCUUCAUCUUUCUCCGUCGUUCUCUCCUAGGUCACAGAUUCGUGAUAUGUCUGUGGGAGACACCUCCGUAAACUCGUCUCCCUCCUCUCUGUCGUAGGUCUCACAAUCCCAUUAAAACACCUUGUCGCCGGAAACUUACAGUAUCCACCAGUUUAAGCUUCCAGCAGCCACGAAAUACCUCGUCGCCGUUAAUUUCCACUUCACCAAGGUUCAAGAACUCCUGCAAGCUCCCGCUGAGAAGCCAUCCUCGAUUUCCGACCAUCCUCCAAGCUUUGGGUUAAGAUUUCGAUUCUACGGCUAGAAAUGUUAUUCUAACGAGUUGUAAUUUGAAAUCCAAUCCAAAGGUUGCUGGAUGCCAGAGUUUUUCUGUAAUACAAGGACUGUUGUGUUGAUCCAACACCCUAGCUCAGGACACGUGCGUGCUCAUUGUAAAAUCUGUACUGGAACCCUUCCCGGCUACGGUAGCUCCACCCUUCAAGCCUCCCCGUCGCAGCUUCAGACUUUCUAUUCCUUUGUAUCCGUUGAUGACCAUCCCUCUGACGAUAAUGGCAAAUCCAAGACCCCUAGUGAUACUAUCUCGCUUAAACCUUUUUCUUGUGAUCUCUCUAAACAAUGCCAGUAUUCAUUUUCUGUUUUGUUUUCGGGUAUAUAAGUUGUCCAACUUUCUGCAGUUUGCAUUGGUGGAACGGGUGGGAAAUCUAGCUGAUCAGAAGAUGAGGUAUUCUCAGAUGCUGUUACUGACGCUGUGGAUGCUGUUGGAUCAUCUACUUUGGGGCUUCAACAAUACAUGCAAGAGGCAGUCAUCAAGCAUGCUAAGGGUCUUGUUGAUGGUAAACUGACACUGAUGUUUGUUAUUUCCCUUAUGUCAUAUCUCUAUUUUGUUUGCUUUUCGUAAAGGACUUUCCCCUACCUAUUUAGUUGCAUCAGUAUCUGCAUCUUCUUCUUCCUUGUCUAGAAUUGUUAUAUAUCAUCUAUGAACAGAUUCCUAGUAACAUAGCCAUAUCUUUAAAGAUAAAAACAACCCUUUUGACAUUCUACUUAUGAUUAACGUAGAAACUCUUGAACUUUCUUGAUUUAUGUUUUUAACAACCACAUACCAUAACUUGCUGCUCGCAUAUUAAGUACAGGUCUUUGAGAUGAGACAGUCAAAAGUUGAAGUUCAUCCGGAUAGAGUUACACCAGCAGCUGAACAAUGUAUCCCGUUUGUUGCAUGGAGAAGACAAGAAUCGUGUUCAAAUUGAGGACGAUGAUGAUGGUCUUGAGUCCCUGAUGUAUUUAUGUGUAGGUGAAUUAUCUAAUGUGUAGUCUAGUAAAUUCGGUUGUGUAGAAGAAUUAAUGAAUUCUAUACAGUAGUGUAGACUCGUAGGUUUUGGUUCUAAUUACUCAUUGGACGAUGAUGUUUUGUGCUAUCUUUGUUGUAAUAAAAAUAGGUAUGGGUUGUGUUGUGUGUAGACUAAUCAAAAAGUGCCAAAAAAUUAUGAUGUAACAACUGAGGUUGCAGGUACCAUUUAUCGAACAAAAUCAGAAAAACUGGAAUUUUUUUUCGAUAAAUGUGGAGCCAAAAAUCUGUUAAGC